UUUUCUUUACUUGUUGAUGAGUCCAGAGAUGCAUCAAUAAAGGAGCAAAUGGCUAUGGUUUUAAGGUAUGUCGAUAAACAUGGGUAUGCGAUUGAGAGGUUCAUUGGGAUUAAGCAUGUUGGUGACACAAGGGCUGCUUCUCUAAAAGCAGCUUUGGAUGGUAUGUUUCUUAAACAUGGCUUGUCUAUGUCUAAAUUGAGAGGGCAAGGGUACGAUGGAGCUUCUAACAUGAGAGGACAAUUUCGUGGGUUGCAAAGGUUGAUACUAGAUGAAAAUCCUUAUGCAUUUUAUAUUCAUUGCUUUGCCCAUCAGUUGCAGUUAGUGGUUGUUGCCGUUGCCAAGUGUUGUUCCUCUGUAUUGGAUUUC
This 366-nucleotide ribosomal RNA is filed under the name Triticum aestivum (bread wheat). RNAcentral's name for it is "partial small subunit ribosomal RNA". Lineage: Eukaryota; Viridiplantae; Streptophyta; Magnoliopsida; Poales; Poaceae. The record is from RNAcentral.